GAUGAACGCUAGCGGCAGGCUUAACACAUGCAAGUCGAGGGGUAUAGUUCUUCGGAAUUAGAGACCGGCGCACGGGUGCGUAACGCGUAUGCAACCUACCUUUCACAGAGGGAUAGCCCCAGAGAAAUUUGGAUUAAUACCUCAUAGUAUAGCAGUUUCGCAUGAAACCACUAUUAAAGUCACAACGGUGAAAGAUGAGCAUGCGUCCCAUUAGCUAGUUGGUAAGGUAACGGCUUACCAAGGCAACGAUGGGUAGGGGUCCUGAGAGGGAGAUCCCCCACACUGGUACUGAGACACGGACCAGACUCCUACGGGAGGCAGCAGUGAGGAAUAUUGGACAAUGGGCGCAAGCCUGAUCCAGCCAUGCCGCGUGCAGGAUGACGGUCCUAUGGAUUGUAAACUGCUUUAUUACAGGAAGAAACACUACUUCGUGAAGUAGCUUGACGGUACU
RNAcentral lists this ribosomal RNA (451 nucleotides) under uncultured bacterium. Its description in RNAcentral is "bacterial SSU rRNA". It matches the Rfam family "Bacterial small subunit ribosomal RNA", at positions 28 to 479 of the family's 1533-position model. The record is from RNAcentral.